GGGUUGUGAGGUUAAGUGACUAAGCGUACACGGUGGAUGCCCUGGCAGUCAGAGGCGAUGAAGGACGUGCUAAUCUGCGAAAAGCGUCGGUAAGGUGAUAUGAACCGUUAUAACCGGCGAUGUCCGAAUGGGGAAACCCAGUGUGAUUCGUCACACUAUCGUUAACUGAAUACAUAGGUUAACGAGGCGAACCGGGGGAACUGAAACAUCUAAGUACCCCGAGGAAAAGA
Molecule: ribosomal RNA, 230 nt
Filed under: Klebsiella pneumoniae
Lineage: Bacteria; Pseudomonadati; Pseudomonadota; Gammaproteobacteria; Enterobacterales; Enterobacteriaceae
Description: partial 23S ribosomal RNA
Rfam family: Bacterial large subunit ribosomal RNA
Source: RNAcentral